UGACGGGGGCCCGCACAAGCGGUGGAGCAUGUGGUUUAAUUCGAUGGUACGCGAGGAACCUUACCAGGGCUUGACAUGUGCCGGAAGCGCACCGAAAGGUGCGUGCCGCUUGCGGCCGGCGCACAGGUGCUGCAUGGCUGUCGUCAGCUCGUGCUGUGAAGUGUUGGGUUAAGUCCCGCAACGAGCCGCAACCCCUGCUGCCUGUUGCCACCACGAGAGGUGGGGACUCAGGCGGGACCGCCGGUGACAAACCGGAGGAAGGUGGGGACGACGUCAAGUCAUCAUGGCCCUUAUGUCCUGGGCUACACACGUGCUACAAUGGCCGGUACAGAGCGCAGCGAGGCCGCGAGGCGGAGCGAAUCGCUUAAAGCCGGUCCCAGUACGGAUUGGAGUCUGCAACCCGACUCCAUGAAGUUGGAAUCGCUAGUAAUCGCGCAUCAGCAUGGCGCGGUGAAUACGUUCCCGGGCCUU
This 471-nucleotide ribosomal RNA is filed under the name uncultured Spirochaeta sp. Its description in RNAcentral is "bacterial SSU rRNA". It matches the Rfam family "Bacterial small subunit ribosomal RNA", at positions 911 to 1382 of the family's 1533-position model. Lineage: Bacteria; Pseudomonadati; Spirochaetota; Spirochaetia; Spirochaetales; Spirochaetaceae. The record is from RNAcentral.